Molecule: ribosomal RNA, 542 nt
Filed under: Mitrella antares
Lineage: Eukaryota; Metazoa; Mollusca; Gastropoda; Neogastropoda; Columbellidae
Description: partial small subunit ribosomal RNA
Source: RNAcentral
AACCAAAAGAUUAAGUCAUAAGGUUAGGUGAAAAGAUAGUUAGGUAACAUUAAGUUUAAUAAUUUUUUAUAUGAAGGUAAAAUUUGAAUAUAAUGUUGUGAUUUUAUUUAAGCUAAAAAUACUGAAGCUAUGAUAAUUUUGAGGGAAACUGGGAUUAGAUACCCCAUUAUUCAUAAAUUGUAAAUUAAUGUAAAUUUACCAGAGUACUAUGAAUAAAUAAGAUUUAAAACUCAAAGGGCUUGGCGGUGUUUUAGACCAAUUAGGGGAACCUGUCUCAUAAUCGACAAUCCGCGACAUACCUGACCCUUUUUAGUAAUACAGUUUGUAUACCGUCGUCGUCAGGUAACUUUUAAAAACAAAGAAGUUGGCAACAUUAAUAAUUUAAGUUGAGACGUCAGAUCAAGGUGCAGCUUAUAGAAGGGGGAGGAUGGGUUACAAUUAUUAAGUUAUAAUCACGGAAGGUUUAAUGUAAAAAGCCUAAAGGCGGACUUAAAAGUAACAUUAUUAUAUAUAAGUAGUUUGAAUUAGGCUCUGAAACGUGC